AUAACGAAGGAAAUCAAGAAAUGUAUAUAUACUGCAGUAUCGUUACUUCUCGGUGGCGAUUAGCGCUCACCGCAGGGAAGUCCUGCUGUUUAGAAAUUGGCUUUCCCUCCUAGGAAACCUGAGGAAAAUGCUGCCCUAGAUAACGCUGCUGUAGCUCUUAUGAGAAGCUUGAAAUUAAAUAGAUACAGGGUUUUCUUUCAAAAUAUGCUCUUGAAUAAAUUAGUUUGCAUCCAGAAAUGGCAUCUGUUUUCCUUGGCUCUGAUAUUUUUCUAAAAGUGUUUAGGUAUGCAGCUCACACUGACACCGGUGCCUAAUAUCUGAGCGGUUUUGCAAAUGGGUCCUGUGUUGUUUUGAGUUAAAACAGAAAUACUGUUUUAAUUCAAAACUUUAAAUACAGAAAUGCUGUGGGGUCAGAAACCCUGGGAGAGGGAAAGGACGGGCACUUAGACAUCAGAUCUCAUGUGGUGAAAAACUAAGUGUUUAGAAGAGCUAAGUGGCCUCGUGUUUAGUAACACGAACCAUCUAACAAUAGACUUUCUCUUUUGUACUUGAGGAAGAAGCUGGAAACAGUGGAUACAUCUCUGUUGCUGUUAGAGGUCACUUGCUGAUUUAUCUCCAAUUCGCAGCUCAUUAGAAGCAUUGGAUUUUUCCUUCGGGAGGUGCGACUUAAUAACAUCUCUCUGCGCAGUGAGAUAAUCGCUCUAACGACCAAAGCGGCGUGCUGAAACUUUGGAGGGCCUUCGCGUGCCCCUCGGCACCCACGGCAGCGCGGAGGAGCGGGUUCUGAGCGCCGUCGCAGAGCGAAUCCUCCUCGCGCCGCGGUCCUCGUCUGCAGUCACCACGGAGAAAACCAUCUGUUCCACUUGGAAAGGGGUUUGGUUCCACGCGCCCUCCCCCCGCAUCCCGGCUCCGUCCCCAGCUGCCGUGUUUUGAUGAGCAGUGAGGGAAUGAAUCUCCUGCGUUAAAAAUACUCUGGUUCUAUUUAGAUAAAAAGAAGAAUCUUGCUUGCCUACACUGACAUACAAAAAUAGCCUUAGUGUGAGUAAAUCUUCAAAGUUUCUCUUGGUGAAAAUAUCUAGCCUCACUUUUUUUUUUUAACUUAUCACAUAAAUUUAUUUAUAGAGUGUCCUUCUUUCCUCCUACUCUAUCAAGACAUUUGCAGAAGGUUGCUGCUCGUCUUGUUCCUGAGUCCUGAAAUAAUUUGCAGGGCCUUUGAAACAUCAUCAUGUUGCAUAGUUGUGAUGCAAUGUGCUGCUGUUGCAUGAACGUAUCGUAUUUUAAUGCGAAUGUCAUGUUAGCUGAGAUUCAAGUCUUUCUUUUACUUUAGGCACUUUACACUGGUUUGUAUUUUCACUUUAACGUUGCAGUCAAAAAAAUUCUGUAUAUAGUGACUUAAAAUUUUACAUUCUCCAUGCAAACCAUUGCAUAGAAAAUGAAUAUGUAAUAUGAGAGGAUUAACAGGACGCAUAUACUUUCCAAAUAUCUCUUAAAAAUAGCUUUCACUGUCACUGUAGCAUCUUAAUUCUGAAUAAUCUCCAAGUCCUCCUGCAAAUCUGUGCAUAUAGUAAUGGAGAAACCACCCACUUCAUCCUCACAAACUGCACGAUAUGUAUCUGUACGUGAAAAAAAUUGGAUUUUGGAGUACAGUUCUGCUCCAGCAGAUACACUGCCUGUGCGACUAGCGAAAGCAUUAAUGCUUGCAUUAAAUAUUAACGCAA
Long non-coding RNA from Aquila chrysaetos chrysaetos, 1718 nucleotides. RefSeq lists it as uncharacterized. NCBI's taxonomy places the organism in Eukaryota, Metazoa, Chordata, Aves, Accipitriformes, Accipitridae. The record is from RefSeq and is a predicted model, not a curated record. The transcript is spliced from 3 exons.